AGGCCCUCUAGUGGCGAUCCAUGGAAAUAAAACUGGCAUGUGGCAGUCAGUGGUGAGUUUGAAUGAAAGUAAUUGCAUAUCCUGUGGCAUUGCUGGACAGCAAAGUGUCCACUGGAUGCACAUUUGAAAAUCUCAGCGUAUGCAGAAUGUAAUCCAGGUAUUGUUUGCCUGCUAUGAAUUCUUCAAUCUCCAUAUCUGAAGCGCCUACUUAUUUAACAUACUGAUUUUGUAUAUUUGUAGUAAAGAGAGGACACACGAAUGAUUAUUAUAGUUAUUCUCACUACUGUAAAGCCAUAAUAAUGUUAUAAUGACUUGUCUUUCAAAGUGUGAAAGAAGCAUUCCGAAUCAUUCUGUAAAUAUGAAGCUCCGCCCAUAAAAUUAGCCAAUUACCGCUUAGAGGGAAAUUGUUGUUGUUUAAAAUGUUGUUGGUUAAAUAAAACAUGAUUUGGCUAUGUUACAGCGAUCAUUUUUAUGAUGUAAAUGCAAAAUUUGGGUAGACCUGACAAGAAGUGUUUUUCGUUAGGCACGUUGUGACAGUUUAAAUAUGUUAUUUCGAGCAGGCGGCGAGACAGAUGAAAGCAGUGACAAUCAAGCAAAAUGAAUUUGUUUCAUGGAUCAAAGAGCGCGCACAAAACCAAUCCAGGAGCCCAUUCCAUCCCUCCUCUAAGGAAGCGGUGACUCGUUCAGGGUGACAUU
Molecule: long non-coding RNA, 696 nt
Organism: Cyprinus carpio (common carp)
Lineage: Eukaryota; Metazoa; Chordata; Actinopteri; Cypriniformes; Cyprinidae
Source: Ensembl